RNAcentral lists this transfer RNA (93 nucleotides) under Clostridiales bacterium. RNAcentral's name for it is "tRNA-Ser". It matches the Rfam family "tRNA". Rfam says of the family: Transfer RNA (tRNA) molecules are approximately 80 nucleotides in length. Their secondary structure includes four short double-helical elements and three loops (D, anti-codon, and T loops). Lineage: Bacteria; Bacillati; Bacillota; Clostridia; Eubacteriales. The record is from RNAcentral.
GGAGAGGUACCCAAGAGGCCGAAGGGGGAAGUUUGCUAAACUUCUAGUGGGGCGAAAGCCCCAGCGCGGGUUCGAAUCCCGCCCUCUCCGCCA